This 229-nucleotide ribosomal RNA is filed under the name uncultured bacterium. RNAcentral describes it as "partial 16S ribosomal RNA". It matches the Rfam family "Bacterial small subunit ribosomal RNA", at positions 568 to 796 of the family's 1533-position model. The record is from RNAcentral.
UGCGUAGGCGGAAUAUUAAGUCAGUGGUGAAAUCCUGCGGCUCAACCGUAGAACUGCCAUUGAUACUGAUAUUCUUGAAUGUAGUUGAGGUAGGCGGAAUGUGUAAUGUAGCGGUGAAAUGCUUAGAUAUUACACAGAACACCGAUCGCGAAGGCAGCUUACUAAACUAUGAUUGACGCUGAGGCACGAAAGCGUGGGGAGCGAACAGGAUUAGAUACCCUGGUAGUCC